CGGGAUGUGGCGCAGCUUGGUAGCGCGCCUGCUUUGGGAGCAGGAAGUCGCAGGUUCAAAUCCUGUCAUCCCGACCA
Molecule: transfer RNA, 77 nt
Filed under: Gracilibacteraceae bacterium
Lineage: Bacteria; Bacillati; Bacillota; Clostridia; Eubacteriales; Gracilibacteraceae
Description: tRNA-Pro
Rfam family: tRNA
About the family: Transfer RNA (tRNA) molecules are approximately 80 nucleotides in length. Their secondary structure includes four short double-helical elements and three loops (D, anti-codon, and T loops).
Source: RNAcentral